UCAAACGUAAAAGAUAUUUGAGCAAAGCAAUUGGUAAGUUCCCCAUUAUUUUGCAGGUGGGCAAGUGAAAAACUAAUCUAACAGAAUAGAAAUUUGAGCAGGAGUAAUAGGUAUAUAAAAAAGCAAAGCGUUAUUCAAACAGAAAAGAUAUUAGAGUAAAGCAAUUGGUGGUACUUUUUAGUAUCUAUAAUGGAAGACGAGGAGUUAAAUCUUAAAAUGUUGUUGAACUGUGGCAUAUUCAUGACCAUCAUAGAGUCUAGAAAAAACAAAAUAAGACGCAGGAGACCCUGUCAUUGGAUGAGCCCUUAUCUCAAGGCAAGGAAUGAGAAGGAGAGGUUUUUCAGCGACUUCAAAAACUUACGGAAUGAUCCAACUCGUUUCAUCGAAAAUUCUCGUAUGCCACCAACUGUAUUUGAUGAGCUUUGAGAAUACUGAAACCACAUCUGCUUUCAAAGCGGUAUACUAGACCAAACGAUUUCAUUCCUACUAAAGCUAAGUUAGCAAUCGAACAACAAUGGAAUUUUCCGAACUGCGUCGGGGCUAUCGAUGGCAAACACAUAGCUUUCAAAGCCCUCCCAAARUCUGGAAGCAUUUUGUAUAAUUACAAAGUAAGUGAAUACGUACAUAUACAUGUAUGUGGAUUAUAAUACCCUCGUGCGGUAGUUAAUAAUUUUUAUUAAUAUGCUUUUAU
Long non-coding RNA from Bactrocera latifrons, 691 nucleotides. RefSeq lists it as uncharacterized. The record is from RefSeq and is a predicted model, not a curated record. NCBI's taxonomy places the organism in Eukaryota, Metazoa, Arthropoda, Insecta, Diptera, Tephritidae. The transcript has 3 exons.